Molecule: ribosomal RNA, 460 nt
Filed under: uncultured bacterium
Lineage: Bacteria
Description: partial 16S ribosomal RNA
Rfam family: Bacterial small subunit ribosomal RNA
Source: RNAcentral
CCUACGGGUGGCAGCAGUGAGGAAUAUUGGUCAAUGGACGAGAGUCUGAACCAGCCAAGUAGCGUGAAGGAUGACUGCCCUAUGGGUUGUAAACUUCUUUUAUAAAGGAAUAAAACGAGGCACGUGUGCCUUUUUGCAUGUACUUUAUGAAUAAGGAUCGGCUAACUCCGUGCCAGCAGCCGCGGUAAUACGGAGGAUCCGAGCGUUAUCCGGAUUUAUUGGGUGUAAAGGGAGCGUAGAUGGGUUGUUAAGUCAGUUGUGAAAGUUUGCGGCUCAACCGUAAAAUUGGAAUUGAUACUGGCAGUCGUGAGUACAGUUGAGGUAGGCGGAAUUCGUGGUGUAGCGGUGAAAUGCUUAGAUAUCACGAAGAACCCCGAUUGCGAAGGCAGCUUACUAAACUGUGACUGACAUUGAUGCUCGAAAGUGUGGGUAUCAAACAGGAUUAGAUACCCCAGUAGUC